Molecule: ribosomal RNA, 289 nt
Filed under: uncultured bacterium
Lineage: Bacteria
Description: partial 16S ribosomal RNA
Rfam family: Bacterial small subunit ribosomal RNA
Source: RNAcentral
AACGAACGCUGGCGGCAUGCCUAACACAUGCAAGUCGAACGAAGCCUUCGGGCUUAGUGGCGCACGGGUGCGUAACGCGUGGGAAUCUGCCCUUGGGUUCGGAAUAACAGUUAGAAAUGACUGCUAAUACCGAAUGAUGUCUUCGGACCAAAGAUUUAUCGCCCAAGGAUGAGCCCGCGUCGGAUUAGCUAGUUGGUGAGGUAAAGGCUCACCCAAAGGGCGACGAUCCGUAGCUGGUCUGAGAGGAUGAUCAGCCACACUGGGACUGAGACACGGCCCAGACUCCUAC